Molecule: RNA transcript, 1830 nt
Organism: Vidua chalybeata
Lineage: Eukaryota; Metazoa; Chordata; Aves; Passeriformes; Viduidae
Exons: 2
Source: RefSeq, a predicted model, not a curated record
UUGGCACAAUUUUACACUAACACAGACUGCAGAAGUGGUUUGCUUAUGGGAAAAAACACCAAAGGGCUUUCUUUUAAGUUUAUAAUAAAUGCUGUAGCCCAAUCUACUACGGUUUAUACCACCACCACUACCACCACUCGAGCCCAGCCACCAGUUAUGCUUACCCCGAAAAUUUUUGAAGUUGGACCAUAUAUAAUCAGGAAAACUGGCCAACAACAGAUAUUAUUUAAUCCAGCAUGGUCUCUUAAACAAGUCAAAUUGCUGAUGCAAAACAAUGUCUCAGAAAUACAACCAGCUUGUUCACCCUUUUUGCAAACCUCUUUUCAGGGUUGGACAACCUGGCUGCGACAGUGGAACCCUCCUAAAAACCGGGUGCAAAGAGACAUAACUGGUGUCGUGGGAACGGGACUGGGCAUCCUAAAUAGUAUUGAUUCAGAAGUAUUAAUGAAUAAAUUGGCCUCCACGACUAAAGAUUUAACCAAAAUACAGCAGCCACUGCAAUCGUCCUUAUCGGCCUUGGGAACACAUCAGUGGUUGCUAUCAAACAUUCUACCAAAUUGGGAAAAGAUAAAUGUAAAUGAUAGCAAAUUGAUAAUUGAUGCACUUAAUGCCACACAAAGCAACGUUUCCUUAGCUCUUAGCUGUAUCCAGGCUCAAUUAUGGAUGCAGUCAGUUGCUGCCUCAAUUAUAAGAGAAAGUGAAGAAGGCACUUUUCCUACUGAAAUUAGGAAAAUAGUCUGGGACAGUGCCACUGACUUUGAAAGAGAUUUCCAAUCCUGGUGGAAUUUAGUGAAUUUUACCUAUGACCCUAACACAAACACAGCCACAGCAUUUGUGUUGACCAUAAGUAAUGCCUCGGUGCAUUUGAUAUUCCCUAUCAUUGCACUAGGAUUAAAUCAUGAUGGAGCCACUUUCUAUCCUUCUGAACAUAGAGAAUGGGCCCGUCAAAUUAAUGACAAAUGGCAAACUGUCAAUUUAGAGUCCUGUACUAUCCGAGAACAACUAGGGUUUAUCUGUGAAGGUAAUGCAAUUAUAGCUCAAGAUAUCUGUUUAGACACAGAACAAAAUAGCUGUCAUUUUGACAUUCAUCCUAACGAGACUUCUGAAACAGUCCUUGUACAUACAGGCAAUGGGUGUGCCUGCUUUGGAACCACUUGUGAUACUGUGUUUAUAGAAAGUACAGUAGUAGAUACUAAAAAUCAUUCAAAUUUUUGUGCUUGCAACUUUACUAAAAUUGCAGGAUGUGAUUUUUCUUUUGUAGCUCCAGUUACCUUACAUGAACUUUUAGAAUCCAAUCUCACGUUGAUUCACAAGCUAUUGCCUACUCCCAUUGGGAUGAACCUUACUUUGGUAAAGCAACUAUUACUUCAUCAAGAUCUAAUAGAGAUCCUAGGAAAAAUCAAGGAGAAUGGACAGAAAACUCUGGUAACUGUUCAUCAUGAUGUGCAAGAAAUACAUCGUGUUGUAGAAAGGGUGGAAAGUGAUGCCGUGCACAGGUGGUGGGAUACCCUUUUCGGGUGGUCACCCACCGCCACCGGUAUCCUGAACAAAUUGUGCCAUCCCGUUGUGGUUCUUUUGAUUUUAGUUAUGAUUGGUUUUGUUUUAUCAGUAAUCUUGCUUAUUGUGAAUUGGAGAAUGAUGAAACGAUGAACAAAAUUGACAUCUAUAAUUAAUGCACACCACUUGGCCGACAUCCUUUACACUAUAGAUGUUCCCAGGACUGUAGACACAAGGAGAUUAUAAGUUUUUCUGUUUUCUCUUUCCUUUCCUUUUUCUCUUCUCUUUUCCCUGGGAUUGCUGCCAACACUUGACGAGUCCUGAAGACUCCAC